This 2530-nucleotide ribosomal RNA is filed under the name Escherichia coli. Its description in RNAcentral is "partial 23S ribosomal RNA". It matches the Rfam family "Bacterial large subunit ribosomal RNA", at positions 323 to 2846 of the family's 2925-position model. The record is from RNAcentral. Lineage: Bacteria; Pseudomonadati; Pseudomonadota; Gammaproteobacteria; Enterobacterales; Enterobacteriaceae.
UGUGUGUUAGUGGAAGCGUCUGGAAAGGCGCGCGAUACAGGGUGACAGCCCCGUACACAAAAAUGCACAUGCUGUGAGCUCGAUGAGUAGGGCGGGACACGUGGUAUCCUGUCUGAAUAUGGGGGGACCAUCCUCCAAGGCUAAAUACUCCUGACUGACCGAUAGUGAACCAGUACCGUGAGGGAAAGGCGAAAAGAACCCCGGCGAGGGGAGUGAAAAAGAACCUGAAACCGUGUACGUACAAGCAGUGGGAGCACGCUUAGGCGUGUGACUGCGUACCUUUUGUAUAAUGGGUCAGCGACUUAUAUUCUGUAGCAAGGUUAACCGAAUAGGGGAGCCGAAGGGAAACCGAGUCUUAACUGGGCGUUAAGUUGCAGGGUAUAGACCCGAAACCCGGUGAUCUAGCCAUGGGCAGGUUGAAGGUUGGGUAACACUAACUGGAGGACCGAACCGACUAAUGUUGAAAAAUUAGCGGAUGACUUGUGGCUGGGGGUGAAAGGCCAAUCAAACCGGGAGAUAGCUGGUUCUCCCCGAAAGCUAUUUAGGUAGCGCCUCGUGAAUUCAUCUCCGGGGGUAGAGCACUGUUUCGGCAAGGGGGUCAUCCCGACUUACCAACCCGAUGCAAACUGCGAAUACCGGAGAAUGUUAUCACGGGAGACACACGGCGGGUGCUAACGUCCGUCGUGAAGAGGGAAACAACCCAGACCGCCAGCUAAGGUCCCAAAGUCAUGGUUAAGUGGGAAACGAUGUGGGAAGGCCCAGACAGCCAGGAUGUUGGCUUAGAAGCAGCCAUCAUUUAAAGAAAGCGUAAUAGCUCACUGGUCGAGUCGGCCUGCGCGGAAGAUGUAACGGGGCUAAACCAUGCACCGAAGCUGCGGCAGCGACGCUUAUGCGUUGUUGGGUAGGGGAGCGUUCUGUAAGCCUGUGAAGGUGUGCUGUGAGGCAUGCUGGAGGUAUCAGAAGUGCGAAUGCUGACAUAAGUAACGAUAAAGCGGGUGAAAAGCCCGCUCGCCGGAAGACCAAGGGUUCCUGUCCAACGUUAAUCGGGGCAGGGUGAGUCGACCCCUAAGGCGAGGCCGAAAGGCGUAGUCGAUGGGAAACAGGUUAAUAUUCCUGUACUUGGUGUUACUGCGAAGGGGGGACGGAGAAGGCUAUGUUGGCCGGGCGACGGUUGUCCCGGUUUAAGCGUGUAGGCUGGUUUUCCAGGCAAAUCCGGAAAAUCAAGGCUGAGGCGUGAUGACGAGGCACUACGGUGCUGAAGCAACAAAUGCCCUGCUUCCAGGAAAAGCCUCUAAGCAUCAGGUAACAUCAAAUCGUACCCCAAACCGACACAGGUGGUCAGGUAGAGAAUACCAAGGCGCUUGAGAGAACUCGGGUGAAGGAACUAGGCAAAAUGGUGCCGUAACUUCGGGAGAAGGCACGCUGAUAUGUAGGUGAAGCGACUUGCUCGUGGAGCUGAAAUCAGUCGAAGAUACCAGCUGGCUGCAACUGUUUAUUAAAAACACAGCACUGUGCAAACACGAAAGUGGACGUAUACGGUGUGACGCCUGCCCGGUGCCGGAAGGUUAAUUGAUGGGGUCAGCGCAAGCGAAGCUCUUGAUCGAAGCCCCGGUAAACGGCGGCCGUAACUAUAACGGUCCUAAGGUAGCGAAAUUCCUUGUCGGGUAAGUUCCGACCUGCACGAAUGGCGUAAUGAUGGCCAGGCUGUCUCCACCCGAGACUCAGUGAAAUUGAACUCGCUGUGAAGAUGCAGUGUACCCGCGGCAAGACGGAAAGACCCCGUGAACCUUUACUAUAGCUUGACACUGAACAUUGAGCCUUGAUGUGUAGGAUAGGUGGGAGGCUUUGAAGUGUGGACGCCAGUCUGCAUGGAGCCGACCUUGAAAUACCACCCUUUAAUGUUUGAUGUUCUAACGUUGACCCGUAAUCCGGGUUGCGGACAGUGUCUGGUGGGUAGUUUGACUGGGGCGGUCUCCUCCUAAAGAGUAACGGAGGAGCACGAAGGUUGGCUAAUCCUGGUCGGACAUCAGGAGGUUAGUGCAAUGGCAUAAGCCAGCUUGACUGCGAGCGUGACGGCGCGAGCAGGUGCGAAAGCAGGUCAUAGUGAUCCGGUGGUUCUGAAUGGAAGGGCCAUCGCUCAACGGAUAAAAGGUACUCCGGGGAUAACAGGCUGAUACCGCCCAAGAGUUCAUAUCGACGGCGGUGUUUGGCACCUCGAUGUCGGCUCAUCACAUCCUGGGGCUGAAGUAGGUCCCAAGGGUAUGGCUGUUCGCCAUUUAAAGUGGUACGCGAGCUGGGUUUAGAACGUCGUGAGACAGUUCGGUCCCUAUCUGCCGUGGGCGCUGGAGAACUGAGGGGGGCUGCUCCUAGUACGAGAGGACCGGAGUGGACGCAUCACUGGUGUUCGGGUUGUCAUGCCAAUGGCACUGCCCGGUAGCUAAAUGCGGAAGAGAUAAGUGCUGAAAGCAUCUAAGCACGAAACUUGCCCCGAGAUGAGUUCUCCCUGACUCCUUGAGAGUCCUGAAGGAAC